Oreochromis aureus is the source of this 3183-nucleotide long non-coding RNA. The record is from Ensembl. Lineage: Eukaryota; Metazoa; Chordata; Actinopteri; Cichliformes; Cichlidae.
CAUCAUCACGUGCGCUGGUGUUCCGACUGUACAAAUCACGAGUCCGUGCUCGUGUUCUCGGCGGGUACGUACUCACUGAGAACGCGAGUACGUACUCGCGUACUUGGGCAUUGAUAAACAGCCAGAGAGAGAGACAUUAGAACACGUCGUACUAUGGCAACCUCUCGGAAGCGGACGGAGGGGGUCAGUCGUUGGUCGUGUCCAAAUUCAUGGGCUGCAUCCUCCUGAGGACCCGGUCUACGUGGGCCGGGUCCUCAGGAGGUCGGGUAGGCCGGAAGUAAACGGCUGUGAAAUUGGACGGUCUAGCCUUCUGAUUAACGUCACCGCUGUCUCGGUGGAGUUUAAUAAACUCGGCCGCCUGCUCCUUGCUAUCUAAAAUAUAACAGGACACUGGCGUAAACUCUCGACCAUCUCACACUUCUGUUAAUCAGUUUUCUGUUUGACGUUUAUUCAGCUGUGUGAAAACCACCCGGGGGAUUAAUAAAGUUUUAUUUUAUCUAAUCUAAUCUAAUAUCUUUAAUCUCAGCCAAACCGAUUUACUCACGAACAAACAAAACACUGAAAAAAGCCAAACAAUAUCCUUUUUAGGUUGUCUAAGUGACUUAUAUAUUACGUUUAACCUGAGUAGCGAAAGUCCGCGGUGAUCUGAAAAUGAUGUGCCGGGAGUUGUGCCGUUCUCGGCGGCUUCAGUGACCCUCAACCUCCCGGUCAGCUAUCGAGCUGGUGGGUAACAGACGUCUCCGAAAACGUCGAAGCACUUUUGCAAAUAUGCGAUGUCUUGAUAAACCGAGCAGAUAUUUGAAGUUUGCACAGCUACUUCUUGAAAACAUGUUAAGUUUAUUUUGUGACUCAGAAAGAUUAAUAAGACUAAUUUUAAAACUUAGUAGCGGCCGCCAUUGUUGGAAACUGGAGUUUGGCUGGGCCGCGCCAUGAAUUCUGGGAUCCCAGAACCCAUCCUUCAAAUUUGGGGAAAAGGAGGACGCAUUUGUCGGCUGGAUUCGGAGGAGUCUACGAAUUUGGACAGCCUUCGGCGCGUCGCUGUGACGUAAUCGGUCCACAAAUGCGGCCUCAGGAGGAUGCAGCCCAUGAAUUUGGACACGACCGUUGGGAUGCGCAUGUGCAGACAGACUGCGCGACCGGCGGGCCUUGAACUUUUUAAGGGAAAAACACUUUCUCACAGACGGUGACAGCGAAGCGGAUAACAGUCUCGAGUACCUGCUGGUCUUUGAAGCUCUGGAUUCUGGGACUGUUGGAAAAGGUAAAACAUUUUCAUUAAAACUUUUUUACUGUUUUGUUUUUGUUACUCGUCAUUGUAGCUUGCUGUUAAUGCUGUGCUAACAAUAACAGUUAGCUAUGUUAGAUACGUUAGCCGUUGAUGUUAACGUAAUUUAGUAUCCGGUAUACAGAAACUGUUUUCCUAACAAAACCACUGUUAUAAUUAAGUGAAGGUGCUCCCAACUAAUUUGAACCUUUGGCUUCUAAAAUAUGUGGUCCUAUUGUGUGUGGCGUACAUAACGUAAUGUCAGCUAGACCGAUAUUAAAAUUUAUAAUAUUAAAGUCACUAAAAUGGCGCCUGAAGCCUGUUUUGACAUGAGCUGUGUCUGCUCUAGAAACUCAGAAAUUCAGUAGAUCUGAGCCGUACAUUAAAUACUCACAUCAGCCUGUACUUUGAAUUCUGUAAGAGCUGUAUAAAACACAGCAAUGCAUAAGUGUUUUGAAUGAAUAGAAAUGUGACAUAUUAGAAGGUGUGUCUGUGACUGUUACUGUAUAACUUAUUUUCGGACUAGUUGGCAAAUUAUGCUCCGGUCAUUUGAUGUUACCAGGAUGGAUGUCCUUUUUGUAAUAUAGUUAAAUUUUCUUUGUACAUUUCAUUUAUCCACCAUCGUACAUUAAGCCAAGAGGUCAUUAUACUAACAAGAGGUAUCAAUGCUGGGCCAAAGUUCAGCACGUGGUUAAAGUUUGUAAUCCAGCCAGGGUGUAAAUAUCACUCAGCAGCCAGUCGUAGAGCUGAAGCAGGUAGCAUCAAAACAUAAAUCUACUCUACCCGGCUUAAAUCACAAGACCACCUCUGACCGAAAAGCUGUAGAUUUUUCUUGUUUGCACAAAUUAAUCCAGAUUCACACUAAUUCUGUUCACAGCUCCAACAAAAUGAGGACGAGGAGGGAGAAACACAAUUAGACUGAAUUACGAUUGGAUGGAUGUCGAGGACAAGGAGGAGGAAGCUUAGGAUGAGGAGGAAGAAAAGCAGCAGGAGCAUCUUUAGGGAUCUCUAUGAUGUCAUUGAGAGGCGGCGGCGAGAGGGGAGACCUCGGCUCAUCCAGCUGGACAGCCUGACCAGGAGGAGCCGAACAUUAACUCGGGUCUUCCAGGGCACCCUGCAGACUCGGCUGCUGGCAUUGGCGAGAGAGUGCGGCCGCGGCUGGGAUGACGUGAACGCCAAACAGGAGUCCAUCACAGGUCGACUGCAGCUCCUUGUCUCAGAGUGGGAGGGGUUUGAAGCACAAAGGGAGGAGCUUGUCAUUUGGUUGGCUGUUAUGGAUGUCCACCUGAGUGAGGUUGACCAGCUGACAGGAAACACCUGUGGAAAAACUGAAACAACUGCAGGUGUGGGGUUGUUUUGAUAUGACAUAUAUUUGAUAUGAUACACACGUCAGAGACAUUAUCCUAAACUGGACUAACAAAGGACCAUGAGUCCAACAUGAAACUUACUUUACAUAACGUAAGGCUGAAGUUCAUUGAUAAUUUUAAUCAAAAACUUGUUGCUGAAAUAUUUUUACUGAACAUGCAAACAUCUGCUGAUGAAAAUGUGUUGAUUUAUUGGUCUGUUAUGAAGCUACUGCUAUUUCUAAUGUGUUUUUAUCACUUUCUGAUGUUUUAUUGAACAAUACAUGUAUUAAUUGUGUUAUCUAUAGAUAUAGUAUUUAUAUAUAUUUAUUUAUAGUAUAGCAAAUAUAUUUAAUUAUUAGUGUUUAAAUGACUAAUAUGUGACAUGUAUUAGUUGUGAUGUUGUGCUGAGGGUUAAAAUGCCUUUUUGUCUUUUGGUAUAUUAUGAAAUGACAAACCAUUAAUGUCUAUGCUGUGCUCGUGUUUAUUUUUACCCUACUCCUAUUCAAUUUAUGAUACAUUUUAUUUUAAAAGAUUUAAAAUGGUUUAAAGAACCAACCAAAAAAAGUUCUUUAAAAU